This 292-nucleotide ribosomal RNA is filed under the name uncultured bacterium. RNAcentral describes it as "partial 16S ribosomal RNA". It matches the Rfam family "Bacterial small subunit ribosomal RNA", at positions 505 to 796 of the family's 1533-position model. The record is from RNAcentral.
GUGUCAGCAGCCGCGGUAAUACGGAGGGUGCAAGCGUUAUCCGGAUUUACUGGGUUUAAAGGGUGCGCAGGCGGAUAUGUAAGUCAGUGGUGAAAUCUUCCCGCUUAACGGGAAAACUGCCGUUGAUACUAUAUAUCUUGAAUGCUGUGGAGGUGAGCAGAAUAUGUCAUGUAGCGGUGAAAUGCUUAGAUAUGACAUAGAAUACCUAUUGCGAAGGCAGCUCACUACGCAGAUAUUGACGCUCAUGCACGAAAGCGUGGGGAUCAAACAGGAUUAGAAACCCCCGUAGUCC